UUACGGCGAUAUCACGUUGAAACAUCAGUUCGCGUACAAUCACCGAAGUUAAGCAACGUCGAGUCUGGUUAGUACCUAGAUGUGUGUCCACUUGGAAAUACCAGGGGCUGUAAG
This is a non-coding RNA of Acanthosepion pharaonis, 114 nucleotides long. The record is from the annotation of a GenBank genome assembly. NCBI's taxonomy places the organism in Eukaryota, Metazoa, Mollusca, Cephalopoda, Sepiida, Sepiidae.